RNAcentral lists this unclassified non-coding RNA (381 nucleotides) under uncultured Armatimonadota bacterium. RNAcentral describes it as "uncultured Armatimonadetes bacterium contains 16S-23S intergenic spacer region". Lineage: Bacteria; Bacillati; Armatimonadota. The record is from RNAcentral.
UCCGGCUUACACCGGCGGUCUCCUGUGAGUGCCCAGCUUUACCUGUUGGUAACACAGAACGAGGGUUGCGCUCGUUGGCGGACUUAACCGUACACCUCACGGCACGAGCUGACGACAGCCAUGCAACAUCUGUCUUCAGGUCCCCUUGUGGGGGAGGGCCCUAUCUCUAGAGCUUUCCAUCGAUGUCAAGAGUGGGUAAGGUUCUUCGGUUAGUAUCGAAUUAAUCCACAUGCUCCACCGCUUGUGCGGGUCCCCGUCAAUUCAUUUGAGUUUCAACCUUGCGGCCGUACUCCCCAGGCGGGAUACUUAAUGCGUUAGCUGCGGCACCGCGGGGGUCGAUACCCACGACGCCUAGUAUCCAUCGUUUAGGGCGUGGACUAC